GCCAGGAAGGAGGAAGCAGGCAGCAGACCCUCUGCCCAGACCAGACCAUCCAGAACAGCUAUUGCUAGUUGUCUCUUUUCCACACCAAAGAGCCCCAGAUGCUGUAGCCUUGCAUUAUAAGAAGGUGCUUCCGGUCGCUGAUCAUCUUUGUUGCUCUCUUCUGCACCUUCUCCAGUUCUACAGUGUCCUUCUUAAGAUACGGAGAUCAGAACUGCACACAGUACUCCAGGAAAAGAAAAGUCAAGAAGUGGAUUUUUCAGCGUUUAAGCCCUUUUACUAGACAAUGCUGUGGAAGAAGGCAGAGCUACUCUGGUUGGGGGCCCUUUGAUGGAAGCUGUUAUGAAGUUAAUGUAGCAGAGAGAUGUUCAGAAGCUCCCAACGUGAAGACUGUGCAGAAGCCUUUCUAAGUGAUUGGACCUCUAUGAACUCCUCAGUGGCUGAAGAGUACUAGGCCCAGACAGUCCACAGGGCAAAGCAGGAAGAACUACACAAAGAUCCAUGCAUUGCAAUGCUUCACCUGUGAAAAGUUAAAAAGCACUGACAGUUUAUGAAUGCUGACACCAGAGGUGCAACUGGCAAGAUUUCUGAUGAUAGAAGAGAACCAGUUUCAUUCUUGGACAAAAAGGAAUGUAUAUAAUCCCCCUGGAUGGUUUGCAUCUUUGCAUUCCUCCGGAAAUCAGCAUGAGCCCUCACUUGACCUCCAAGGCCAUGCAUGCACCAGACAGGUUAGAGAGGAGAAGUCACCAGUUCUUUGAUAACGAUUGUGACAUUCCAGCUUGAUGAAGAAAAUACUUCAGAUGUCAACAAAAACUUUUCCUGUCAUGAGGGUUUUUCUUCUCUCAAUAUGUCCCUGGAAUAUCUACUAUUUCUCACCAAUGAAAACUACAAAUAAGACAUCUAGCACACAAAUAAUUCAAGCAUGUGAAUCAGAAAUAUAUCCGAUCCCAUACUCGAUAUAAUAAAGUCACAUACUCUUUACAUUUUGUAGCAACUAUUUUAGAAUAGCCUUUAUAAGUGUUUGGGGGUGGGGUGGGCAUAUCUUGUGCACACCAGAUUUGGAAUGAAGUUCCAUUGAAAUCCAUGGGAGUUUUAAUUCCAACUACACAUGCCCAUGAAUGUGCAGUGAUGUGUGUGUGCAUGCAUACACACGUGCACAUGCAUGUUAUACUGGUGCCCUGUCUCUUUAAUUAGCUAUGCAUGGACUUAGAUUUUGCAAAUUCUAAUGGGUAUGGGGUUGGGUUUUUGGGUUUUUUUAAAAAACGCAUUUGUUAAC
Hemicordylus capensis (graceful crag lizard) is the source of this 1273-nucleotide long non-coding RNA. RefSeq lists it as uncharacterized. The record is from RefSeq and is a predicted model, not a curated record. NCBI's taxonomy places the organism in Eukaryota, Metazoa, Chordata, Lepidosauria, Squamata, Cordylidae. The transcript has 5 exons.